ACGGAAGGCAGCAGUGGGGAAUAUUGGGCAAUGGACGCAAGUCUGACCCAGCAACGCCGCGUGAAGGAAGAAGGCUUUCGGGUUGUAAACUUCUUUUGUCAGGGAAGAGCAGAAGACGGUACCUGACGAAUAAGCAACGGCUAACUAAGUGCCAGCAGCCGCGGUAAUACGUAGGUGACAAGCGUUGUCCGGAUUUACUGGGUUUAAAGGGCGUGUAGCCGGGUCUGCAAGUCAGAUGUGAAAUCCAUGGGCUUAACCCAUGAACUGCAUUUGAAACUGUAGAUCUUGAGUAUCGGAGAGGUAAUCGGAAUUCCUUGUGUAGCGGUGAAAUGCGUAGAUAUAAGGAAGAACACCAGUGGCGAAGGCGGAUUACUGGACGACAACUGACGGUGAGGCGCGAAAGCGUGGGGAGCAAACAGGAUUAGAUACCCUGGUA
This 436-nucleotide ribosomal RNA is filed under the name uncultured Oscillibacter sp. RNAcentral describes it as "partial 16S ribosomal RNA". It matches the Rfam family "Bacterial small subunit ribosomal RNA", at positions 341 to 792 of the family's 1533-position model. Lineage: Bacteria; Bacillati; Bacillota; Clostridia; Eubacteriales; Oscillospiraceae. The record is from RNAcentral.